Vespula pensylvanica (western yellowjacket) is the source of this 795-nucleotide long non-coding RNA. RefSeq lists it as uncharacterized. The transcript is spliced from 3 exons. NCBI's taxonomy places the organism in Eukaryota, Metazoa, Arthropoda, Insecta, Hymenoptera, Vespidae. The record is from RefSeq and is a predicted model, not a curated record.
UCAUGUAGAGAUUGCUGCAUACACUUGGAUUUCAGCUAUAUUAAUUUAUAUAAAAUAUGAAAACCUUUAAAAACCAUAAUCAAUAUGAUGAUAUUCAUUUUAUAAUUCACAAUUAUAAUAAAUAGUUUCUAUUUUCCCGCGUAAAAUUACAAAAAUCAUGGCUACCAUGAUGUGAUCAAUCAUUGGCUAUUAAUUUUUCGAUACAGUUUUUUUGGUUAUAAACAGGAGCAUGCUUAAAGAUCGUUGUUGAUUUUUCUAUGAUUUUUAAUUGUCAUGUCAACUGAGAAGUAAAUUUCAAGGUCCUUGUUCGACUUUCAUAUGUGGGCUACUGUUCCAACCCAUUAGUGAAAUUUCCGUAUGAGCUUACGAAAUCUGAGUGGACAUCAGACACUUUCUAUGUCGGUCAUCGUUUUCGUUUUCACAAAGUGUACUCGCACACAUCAGUAAGUAAGUUGACGUAUUUGCUAUCUCAUCGAUGUGCUAUCACUUUCUUGUCUCGCACCCUCGAUUAGUCGACUUCUUUAUCCGCAUUGCUCACUACAACAACUACAUAUAUAAUAGCGCGAGUGUACAAUCGAAUAUGGUUCAAUGAAGGUUCAUUUGGAUUCAGAUCUUGUAAUUGAACAUAUACACAACGUGCGAUCGAACGUGCUUGGUAUCUUUUUUCUUUCUUUCUUUCUUUUUUUUUUUUCUUCAUUUUUUUCUUUCUACAACUAAAUUCACGAUUAGAUAAUGCAAAUAAAAUUGUAUGCAUCACGUAAGAAGGAAGUAUAGCAGAGAAUAAAAAUCAACGCA